ACUUUACAAUGUACGAAAGUGUGAUAAGGGGAUCCAAAGUGCUAGUACCUUGUACUGGCUUUUUUCAAAGGUAAAACUUUGAAGAAUAAGUGGUGGGCAAGACCGGUGCCAGCAGCCGCGGUAACACCGGCGCCACGAGUGGCAUCCGCAUUUACUUGGCCUAAAGCGUCCGUAGCCGGUUCGAUAAAUUUCUUGUGAAAUCGUUAAGCUUAACUUAACGACGUGCAGGAAACACUGUCAAACUUGGAACCGGGAGGAGUCAGAAGUAUUCAUUGGGGAGCGGUAAAAUGCUAUAAUCCUUUGAAGACUACCUGUGGCGAAGGCGUCUGACUAGAACGGAUUCGACGGUGAGGGACGAAAGCUAGGGGAGCGAUCCGGAUUAGAUACCCCCGUAGU
Molecule: ribosomal RNA, 396 nt
Filed under: uncultured euryarchaeote
Lineage: Archaea; Methanobacteriati; Methanobacteriota
Description: bacterial SSU rRNA
Rfam family: Archaeal small subunit ribosomal RNA
Source: RNAcentral